GGCCGCACACGUACCUGAAUGCAACACCUUGAUUUUCUCCUCUGCCUCCCCCAGUCUGGCUGCCAGGGUGAUUUGUACUUCUUGGAGGCCCCUGUGGAGAGAUGGGGUGGACGCUGCCUGGGCCCUGGUUCGGGCCUCACCUGCCCCGUGACUGCACCUGUCUUUAGGGAGCCCUGGCCGUCCUGCUGUCUGGCCGGCUGUGCGGCCCCACUGUGGCUGGCCCUGGGAGAGAAAGAAAUAUCCAUCGCCAAGAGCAACGUGACAGGCAGAGAAGUCUCUACAAACUGGAGCGGUCGAUGGAUUAAUACCCAUUUCCCAAACUCGGCACUGGAGUGAAGCACGUGUUGGUGCCCGCUAGCCGGGGGCCGACACGCACAGACGCUGGUGACCACUAACCUGCUUUCUGUCUGUGGAUUUGCCUGUUCUGGACAGGGUCCUGUUGGAUGACCUUACAAGUUGCCUGGCUGUUACAGCAGAGCACUGUGAUCCACGCGGUCCCGUCCGGCAGGCCCGUCUGCGACAUGCAGCGUGCUGUCAUAUCAUUCUCGCACUCUGAUGGUGGCCUGGGGUGCAGCCGAGCGAGCCGGCCUCUGCCCACUGGACAUCUGGCUGCUCCAGCCUGCGCUACGGCGAAGCCUGCGGCCAGCGCCCCUCUCGCCCCGUCCUCUGGGCGUAGCGCGUCUCCUGGACACAAACCAAGGAGUAAAUGCGCUAGAUCCUAGGCGGGCCCACCUGCAGCCUCACUGGAGAGGAUUUCCAGAGUAGAAACGGGUGGCAGCUGCCUAGAGUCCUGUCACCUUGUAGGAGGAAUGUCUGUGUGUGCCUUCUAGUCACUUCCUGUUGGUGGGACCAGGGACUCCCCUAAUGGGCGGGGGAGGGGAGAGCCGGGCAUGCCUGGCUCGGCCCUGGGGGUCUGUCUCCUGGGCAGCAUCGCCCAGCCAGGCCCGCCCUUCCUGUGUGUUUUAACAGCCGUGGGUGGGAUCCAGGCCUGCCUGUCUGAGGGAGCCCCGCGAUCCCACUCCCACCCCGCCUGCCUUCGUGGCUGGCCAUCGUGAGAGCCUCACACAGUCCCCUGUCCAGUCCCGUUCUGUGAGGAUUAAGCUCUGGCCUCCACCACUAGCCACCUCUUAAUGAGCCCUGAGCUCCAAGGCUCAAAAGCACCAUCUCACAUUCCCACUUCGAACCAAACUAGGACUCCAGGCUUCUCCGUGCCCACAACCGUAGGCUCUGGGUCCCGAUCCUUAGAGGCAGAAAGGCAAGCGGGAUAUUGCCUAGAGACUGUCAUCGGCUGGGAAAGUCUUAAGGCUCGGACUCAUCCCCCCUCGCCUCUCGUCCCCUCCAUGCUGCCCCUUCCUCCUGAACACAGAGCUGAACUACACUUCCCAGCCUCCUU
Molecule: long non-coding RNA, 1393 nt
Organism: Chinchilla lanigera (long-tailed chinchilla)
Lineage: Eukaryota; Metazoa; Chordata; Mammalia; Rodentia; Chinchillidae
Exons: 4
Source: RefSeq, a predicted model, not a curated record